CCUACGGGUGGCAGCAGUGGGGGAUAUUGCACAAUGGGGGAAACCCUGAUGCAGCGACGCCGCGUGGGCGAAGAAGUAUUUCGGGAUGUAAAGCCCGAUCAGCAGGGAAGAAGAAAGGACGGUACCUGAGUAAGAAGCACCGGCUAAAUACGGGCCAGCAGCCGCGGUAAUACGGAUGGGGCAAGCGUUAUCCGGAUUUACUGGGUGUCAAGGGAGCGCAGGCGGGACGGCAAGCCUGAUGGGAAAGCCCGCGGCCCAACCGCGGGACGGCAUUGGGAACUCCCGGGCUGGAGUGCCGGAGAGGUCGGCGGAAUUCCUAGUGUAGCGGUGCACUGCGUAGCUCUUCGGCGG
Molecule: ribosomal RNA, 351 nt
Filed under: uncultured bacterium
Lineage: Bacteria
Description: partial 16S ribosomal RNA
Rfam family: Bacterial small subunit ribosomal RNA
Source: RNAcentral